This 515-nucleotide ribosomal RNA is filed under the name bacterium symbiont of Megymenum gracilicorne. Its description in RNAcentral is "bacterial SSU rRNA". It matches the Rfam family "Bacterial small subunit ribosomal RNA", at positions 527 to 1041 of the family's 1533-position model. The record is from RNAcentral.
GGAGGGUGCAAGCGUUAAUCGGAAUUACUGGGCGUAAAGCGCACGCAGGCGGUCUGUCAAGUCGGAUGUGAAAUCCCCGGGCUUAACCUGGGAACUGCAUUCGAAACUGGCAGGCUAGAGUCUUGUAGAGGGGGGUAGAAUUCCAGGUGUAGCGGUGAAAUGCGUAGAGAUCUGGAGGAAUACCGGUGGCGAAGGCGGCCCCCUGGACAAAGACUGACGCUCAGGUGCGAAAGCGUGGGGAGCAAACAGGAUUAGAUACCCUGGUAGUCCACGCCGUAAACGAUGUCGACUUGGAGGUUGUUCCCUUGAGGAGUGGCUUCCGGAGCUAACGCGUUAAGUCGACCGCCUGGGGAGUACGGCCGCAAGGUUAAAACUCAAAUGAAUUGACGGGGGCCCGCACAAGCGGUGGAGCAUGUGGUUUAAUUCGAUGCAACGCGAAGAACCUUACCUACUCUCGACAUCCACGGAAUUUAGCAGAGAUGCUUUAGUGCCUUCGGGAACCGUGAGACAGGUGC